CCGGCACGGGUGAGUAACACGUAUCCAACCUGCCGUCUACUCUUGGCCAGCCUUCUGAAAGGAAGAUUAAUCCAGGAUGGCAUCAUGAGUUCACAUGUCCGCAUGAUUAAAGGUAUUUUCCGGUAGACGAUGGGGAUGCGUUCCAUUAGAUAGUAGGCGGGGUAACGGCCCACCUAGUCAACGAUGGAUAGGGGUUCUGAGAGGAAGGUCCCCUACAUUGGAACUGAGACACGGUCCAA
RNAcentral lists this ribosomal RNA (239 nucleotides) under uncultured bacterium. RNAcentral's name for it is "partial 16S ribosomal RNA". It matches the Rfam family "Bacterial small subunit ribosomal RNA", at positions 100 to 334 of the family's 1533-position model. The record is from RNAcentral.